RNAcentral lists this ribosomal RNA (253 nucleotides) under uncultured bacterium. Its description in RNAcentral is "partial 16S ribosomal RNA". It matches the Rfam family "Bacterial small subunit ribosomal RNA", at positions 524 to 776 of the family's 1533-position model. The record is from RNAcentral.
UACGAAGGGGGCUAGCGUUGCUCGGAAUCAUUGGGCGUAAAGGGCGCGUAGGCGGGCUGGCAAGUCGGUCGUGAAAUCCUUCGGCUCAACCGAAGAACGUCGGCCGAUACUGCCGUUCUUGAGGGAUGCAGAGGAGAUUGGAAUUCCCGGUGUAGCGGUGAAAUGUGUAGAGAUCGGGAGGAACACCGGUGGCGAAGGCGGGUCUCUGGGCAUCUCCUGACGCUGAGGCGCGAAAGCGUGGGGAGCAAACGGG